Molecule: ribosomal RNA, 442 nt
Filed under: uncultured bacterium
Lineage: Bacteria
Description: bacterial SSU rRNA
Rfam family: Bacterial small subunit ribosomal RNA
Source: RNAcentral
CUACGGAAGGCAGCAAUUAGGAAUCUUGCACAAUGGGGGAAACCCUGAUGCAGCGACGCCGCGUGAAGGAUGAAGGUUCUCGGAUCGUAAACUUCUUUUAAGAGGGAAGAAAUUUGACGGUACCUCUUGAAUAAGCCCCGGCUAACUACGUGCCAGCAGCCGCGGUAAUACGUAGGGGGCGAGCGUUGUCCGAAGUUACUGGGCGUAAAGCGCGCGUAGGCGGUUUCUUAAGUCUGGGGUGAAAGGUUCAACGCUCAACGUGAACAGUGCCUUGGAUACUGGGAGACUUGAGUUAGGGAGAGGGUAGUAGAAUUCCUGGUGUAGCGGUGAAAUGCGUAGAUAUCAGGAGGAAUACCAAUGGCGAAGGCAGCUGCCUGGCCUAUAACUGACGCUGAGGUGCGAAAGCGUGGGGAGCAAACGGGAUUAGAUACCCGUGUAGUCC